RNAcentral lists this ribosomal RNA (719 nucleotides) under uncultured fungus. RNAcentral describes it as "eukaryotic LSU rRNA". The stretch from base 87 to 719 matches the Rfam family "Eukaryotic large subunit ribosomal RNA", at positions 1 to 648 of the family's 3401-position model. The record is from RNAcentral. Lineage: Eukaryota; Fungi.
UGANNAGNCCCUGGAUGCAGCGAGCUUCCAAGCAUGCAUCUCAACGGUCUCUCCGGCCCAGCCUCANCCAAUUUAUUUCAACUGGUUGACCUCGGAUCAGGUAGGGAUACCCGCUGAACUUAAGCAUAUCAAUAAGCGGAGGAAAAGAAACCAACAGGGAUUGCCUCAGUAACGGCGAGUGAAGCGGCAACAGCUCAAAUUUGAAAUCUGGCUCCCUUGGGGGUCCGAGUUGUAAUUUGUAGAGGAUGCUUCGGGCAAGGCCGCGGUCUAAUUUGCUUGGAACAGCGAGUCACAGAGGGUGAGAGUCCCGUCUGGAACCGUGCGCCGCGUCCAUGUGAAGCUCCUUCGACGAGUCGAGUUGUAUGGGAAUGCAGCUCUAAAUGGGUGGUAAAUUUCAUCUAAAGCUAAAUAUUGGCCAGAGACCGAUAGCGCACAAGUAGAGUGAUCGAAAGAUGAAAAGCACUUUGAAAAGAGAGUUAAACAGUAUGUGAAAUUGUUGAAAGGGAAGCGCUUGCAACCAGACUUGCGUGUGACGGUUCCCCCGACCUUCUGGUCGGGCUAUUCUGUCAUCUCCAGGCCAGCAUCGGUUUGGGUGGUCGGUCAAAGACUUCGGGAAUGUAUCCACCUCCGGGUCGACUUAUAGCCCGGAGUGCAAUGCGACCCACCCGGACCGAGGAACGCGCUCCGGCUCGGAUGCUGGCGUAAUGGUUGUAAGCGGC